Pezoporus flaviventris is the source of this 956-nucleotide long non-coding RNA. RefSeq lists it as uncharacterized. Lineage: Eukaryota; Metazoa; Chordata; Aves; Psittaciformes; Psittacidae. The transcript has 3 exons. The record is from RefSeq and is a predicted model, not a curated record.
GGUUUUCCAUGUGGAACUGUGCCAGCUGCAGGCUCAGUUUGAUCUAGAAUGGGUUGCUUUUCCUUUAUUGUGUGCAUGGGGAUUGAGCAUGUGUAUCUUGGGCAUGUGUGUGGUUUGGUGUUUUCUCCUGUAGGAUGCACUAAUCAAGGAAACAGGCUACUGAUAAGACUAGAAUCCUGGAUGGAGAUGACUGCUUGAUGUGCUAAUCCCCUGGGAAGAUGCAACAUCUUUUGAACUCACCAGGAAGAGAAGAACUGGGGAGCCCAUCAGAAAUGUCUCAGAGGGUUUUCACCAAAUCAUGGAGUGGGCUGGAACCUGCUGGGUUGGUCAAAGCCUUCUCCUGAGGUUUAGGAGAAGGCAGUGGAGAAAUUCAGCUGUAUCUAGCAUGCAGUGAAUGUGGACUGGUGCACAAUCAUUUUGAACUUUGUCUAUUCAAUUAGUAUUGGUAUUAUGAAGGAAAUGUAGAUCCUGAUAAAGAUGGUGACCAGUUUCUUUUUUAAGGACAUUUGGGUCAAGAUCUCCCUUUUGUCAAAUUCAUUACUCACUUUCUGGGCAUUCUUGCUAUCCUCUUGUUAUGUUCAGCUACAAGAUUGGUGGACCUGACUGUGUUGGUUGACUUUCAAUUCUGUUGUCAAAAUAAAUGAGAAGUCAGGAAAUUGCAGACCCAGUCCAAAUGCAAUCUGCUCAGGGGGUUGGUACUUGGAAAGUUCCCUCCAUCUGUUGUGGUUGGUUUAGAGGCUCGCUCAGACCUUUGGCAUGACCUGUUGAUUUCAGUGUCUGCCCAAAUAUUUACAACCAAGUACAAUAAUUGUGGUAUCCAAGCCAUAAAACUGCGGAUCACUUAUAGGCUCCUCUCUGGCAUAUCUCUUGUCCAGCCAUGACAAGCCCAGCAAGCAAAUCUGGUUUAGCUCAAAGGCAAGCCUAUGUUGCAUGAAGGACUUACCUCUGCUCCCAAG